Molecule: non-coding RNA, 549 nt
Organism: Rattus norvegicus (Norway rat)
Lineage: Eukaryota; Metazoa; Chordata; Mammalia; Rodentia; Muridae
Source: RefSeq, a predicted model, not a curated record
GGAUAUUGUCAUAAGGCAAAAAUGAGGAUGAAGUAGGAGAAAGAAAUGGAAGAGAGACAUCAGUAUGAGACUAAAUCAUCUCCUUCAUUUCUACCAUAUUUCAUGCUGGUAUCCAGAACAUAAUGUUGAUUAGAAAAGGAAAUCAAAGACCUCUAAUGGCUCACUGAAAAAUUUUACUCAGCAAAAUCACUGGCCUUCUGCAUGAAAUCAAAGAGAUGUAAGCUAAUGUGUUAAAGUGUUAAAUCAGCGUAGCCAGUCUCUGUGGUCUGCUCAUCUGAGAAAGCAGAAAGCAAUGCUAACAAAGGUGGCUGCACUUCUCCUUCUCCAAUUCUGCAGUUUCUGUUAGUUAACCACGGCUAAAGGAGACCUCUGCUAUGAAGAAGUUUCAUAUUUCCAGAAGAUUGACCACUAAAUAAGAAGAGGAUAUGAAUUUUUCAGAUGGCUGCUAAAAGUCACCCUCCCUGCCUGCUGUCACACAUACCCACCAUGAUGAUGAUACAUUUUUAUCUGUCUGCCAUUUUAAGCCCAAAUAAAUCCUUCCUUCUCUAA